This 587-nucleotide long non-coding RNA is filed under the name Marmota monax (woodchuck). Lineage: Eukaryota; Metazoa; Chordata; Mammalia; Rodentia; Sciuridae. The record is from RNAcentral.
ACAUGCUAGCCCAAUCUGCUGGCGUCAUGUCCAAGUUAGUAAUGGACUCGACCAUGCUUACCGUGAAGGGUGCUUGGGGACCAUAGGUUGUUACAGCCUCCUUUAACUGCUUCACUGUUUUAAAAUCUAAAGCAUGGUGAAUUCGCUGCCCUCCUACCUGUUCAAGUACAGGGCAUGCUAAUCUUUGAGGUCCUGUCUCAGGAUCCCAUUUAUCAACUACGAGGUUUGAGGGCCACUCAGCUGUCUCCAUAGGUGGGGCUGUUGGUUGAAUUUCGCCCUCUGGUGAUAAAACGGAGUUAGUAACAGCCUCCUGUUGUGGCCUUUUUCCUAAUAACCCCUUUUCCUUUAAAAUUUCUUCCCCUGUCUGAUUAGCUUGAGAGACCUUUUCUUUUGCUUGAUCUAAAAUGUCUUUCUCGGGGCUGGGGAUGUGGCUCAAGUGGUAGCGCGCUCGCCUGGCAUGCAUGCGGCCCGGGUUCGAUCCUCAGCACCACAUACAAACAAAGAUGUUGUGUCCGACGAAAACAAACUAAAAAAAUAAAUAAAUAUUAAAAAUUAUAAAUAAAAAUAAAAAUAAAAUGUCUUUCUCC